RNAcentral lists this ribosomal RNA (394 nucleotides) under uncultured Proteus sp. Its description in RNAcentral is "partial 16S ribosomal RNA". Lineage: Bacteria; Pseudomonadati; Pseudomonadota; Gammaproteobacteria; Enterobacterales; Morganellaceae. The record is from RNAcentral.
CACGGAGUUAGCCGGUGCUUCUUCUGCGGGUAACGUCAAUUGAUAAGGGUAUUAACCUUAUCACCUUCCUCCCCGCUGAAAGUACUUUACAACCCUAAGGCCUUCUUCAUACACGCGGCAUGGCUGCAUCAGGCUUGCGCCCAUUGUGCAAUAUUCCCCACUGCUGCCUCCCGUAGGAGUCUGGGCCGUGUCUCAGUCCCAGUGUGGCUGAUCAUCCUCUCAGACCAGCUAGAGAUCGUCGCCUAGGUGACGUCCUUUACCCCACCUUACUAGCUAAUCCCAUAGUGGGUUCAUCCGAUAGUGACAAGGUCCGAAGACGCCCCUGUCUUUGGUCCGUAGACUAUUAUGUCGGUAUUACGCCUACCGUUCAGUUAGUUACUCCCCUCUACGUCGG